UGUGAAUGCUGAGGCUUAUUGUGUUGACUGUACAGUCAUCACGGAUGCUGCAUCUCGAGGACAUGGUCACUUCCUUGACUACCUCUCCUGCCUCACAGGCUGGUCUCUAACUGCUGGGCUCAAGCAAUCCUCCUGCCUUGGCCUCCUAAAGUGCUGGGGUUAUAGGCAUGGGCCACUGUACCUGGCCAACAGUGAACUCUGUGUGCCAUGUGCUUUCCAUGUAUUAUCUCAUUUAAUCGUCAGGUCUACCUGAUCAGGCUGGAGUGCACUGGUGUGAUCUUGGCUCACUGCUACCUCCACUUCCCAGGUCAA
Molecule: long non-coding RNA, 312 nt
Filed under: Homo sapiens (human)
Lineage: Eukaryota; Metazoa; Chordata; Mammalia; Primates; Hominidae
Description: HSALNT0370387
Source: RNAcentral